UAUGUAGGUCCCGAGCGUUGUCCGGAUUUAUUGGGCGUAAAGGGGGCGCAGACGGCGAUGCAAGCCAGGAGUGAAAGCCCGGGGCCCAACCCCGGGACUGCUCUUGGAACUGCGUGGCUGGAGUGCAGGAGGGGCAGGCGGAAUUCCUGGUGUAGCGGUGAAAUGCGUAGAUAUCAGGAGGAACACCGGUGGCGAAGGCGGCCUGCUGGACUGCAACUGACGUUGAGGCCCGAAAGCGUGGGGAGCAAACAGG
This 253-nucleotide ribosomal RNA is filed under the name uncultured bacterium. RNAcentral's name for it is "partial 16S ribosomal RNA". It matches the Rfam family "Bacterial small subunit ribosomal RNA", at positions 524 to 776 of the family's 1533-position model. The record is from RNAcentral.